This 1145-nucleotide long non-coding RNA is filed under the name Phasianus colchicus (ring-necked pheasant). RNAcentral describes it as "lncRNA (ENSPCLG00000005714.1)". Lineage: Eukaryota; Metazoa; Chordata; Aves; Galliformes; Phasianidae. The record is from RNAcentral.
GCCAGACAUUGCAUGUCUGCCUCUGGUCUGGUCGUUGGGGUACAACAGCACAUGCUGUCCUUCUGUCCACAGUGGUUGUACCAAUGAGCUUGGGUUGGAGCAGGUGCUUCAUCAGAGGUCAUCACUCCAGCUGCAAUGAAUUACUGAUGCAAAUCUCUUACUCAAGUCUUCAAAAUCAGCAGUUUUCUUGCUCCUAGAAUGUUGAUUCUCUGUUGUUUUACCUCUUCUAUUAGAAUUUCUAAGGCUGUCCACAUCACCCAGUUGCCUCUGAUGCAGAAAGAAUGAUGUGUUGUGCAUGCAGGUGGCCAAUGCAACUUGGAAGUGAAGGGCUGCUCUGAGUGCCGUGGCAGUCAGUAGGAGUGUUUUACAUGCAUACCUUGAAGGAGAAUGUGAUGCCUGAAAGAAGCGGUGACGCAUGGAAACCGCCUACAAUGGCACCAGCUGGAUGGAGGAGCCUGGGAGCACGAAUAUAAGAAAACAGGUUUUUCCAGAAGGGUUGGUGUUGGUGAGGACUUCUGAUUCCAUCUGGUCCAACCCCUGCUGAAGCAAGGACCCACAGAGCAGGUGCUCAGGACCAUGUCCAGAAAAUUUUUGAAGACCUCUAUGGAGGACAGCAUCUCUAAGUAGGGAGGUAAGUUUUUUAGCAAGUCAGGGUAAUUUAAAUGCUGGGCUUCAGCACAAACGAAGGAUUACAGACGUCUAAGUGCUCCUAAUGCACGGUUUUAUUGUGAUCUUAAUGCUAAGAUUUCAAGUCUGAGAGUUGCACGAGGCUACUGCAGUCUGAGAGGAGUGUGUGUGUCUAAGCCGUUUCCAAAGCUUAUCACAAGUUCCCACAGGAAGAGAUAUGAAUGACAUGAAAAUAUUACACUUCAAGCAGAGAGAUUUAGGAGGAAUGCGAAACACACCGAGGAGAUGAGAGCAGAAUAUUCAGUUGUCAAAAUAAUGCUCUGAAGGCAGCAGCCCCGUUAAACCAACGCAGCUGGGCUCCUUGCAUCGAAAUGUCUGUGCUGGAGCUGUGUGUUUGCAUCCAAACAGAAGAAAGCUCUUCCCGUUACUGCUGGUUGUGUUAAUGAUGCAGAAACACUGGGUCUUUUGGAUCUGAUGUUGUUAUGGGCAGGUAGCACCCUGGCAAAGCUGGGAAGGGC